CUGAUUUUAGCGGCGGACGGGUGAGUAACACGUGGGCAACCUACCUUGUAGAUUGGGAUAACUCCGGGAAACCGGGGCUAAUACCGAAUAAUCCAUUUUGCUUCAUGGCGAAAUGUUAAAAGGCGGCUUCGGCUGUCACUGCAAGAUGGGCCCGCGGCGCAUUAGCUAGUUGGUAAGGUAACGGCUUACCAAGGCGACGAUGCGUAGCCGACCUGAGAGGGUGAUCGGCCACACUGGGACUGAGACACGGCCCAGACUCCUACGGGAGGCAGCAGUAGGGAAUCUUCCACAAUGGACGAAAGUCUGAUGGAGCAACGCCGCGUGAGUGAAGAAGGUUUUCGGAUCGUAAAACUCUGUUGUAAGGGAAGAACACGUACGAGAGUAACUGCUCGUACCUUGACGGUACCUUAUUAGAAAGCCACGGCUAACUACGUGCCAGCAGCCGCGGUAAUACGUAGGUGGCAAGCGUUGUCCGGAAUUAUUGGGCGUAAAGCGCGCGCAGGCGGUCCUUUAAGUCUGAUGUGAAAGCCCACGGCUCAACCGUGGAGGGUCAUUGGAAACUGGGGGACUUGAGUACAGAAGAGGAAAGCGGAAUUCCAAGUGUAGCGGUGAAAUGCGUAGAGAUUUGGAGGAACACCAGUGGCGAAGGCGGCUUUCUGGUCUGUAACUGACGCUGAGGCGCG
Molecule: ribosomal RNA, 683 nt
Filed under: Paenisporosarcina quisquiliarum
Lineage: Bacteria; Bacillati; Bacillota; Bacilli; Caryophanales; Caryophanaceae
Description: bacterial SSU rRNA
Rfam family: Bacterial small subunit ribosomal RNA
Source: RNAcentral